UACGGAGGGUGCGAGCGUUGUCCGGAAUCAUUGGGCGUAAAGGGCGCGUAGGUGGCCCGGUCAGUCUUUGGUGAAAGCGCGGGGCUCAACCCUGCGUCGGCCAGGGAUACUGCCGCGGCUCGAGCACUGUAGAGGCAGGCGGAAUUCCGGGUGUAGCGGUGGAAUGCGUAGAGAUCCGGAAGAACACCGGUGGCGAAGGCGGCCUGCUGGGACGUGACUGACGCUGAGACGCGAAAGCGUGGGGAGCAAACAGG
RNAcentral lists this ribosomal RNA (254 nucleotides) under uncultured bacterium. RNAcentral describes it as "partial 16S ribosomal RNA". It matches the Rfam family "Bacterial small subunit ribosomal RNA", at positions 524 to 776 of the family's 1533-position model. The record is from RNAcentral.